This 466-nucleotide ribosomal RNA is filed under the name uncultured bacterium. RNAcentral describes it as "bacterial SSU rRNA". It matches the Rfam family "Bacterial small subunit ribosomal RNA", at positions 329 to 792 of the family's 1533-position model. The record is from RNAcentral.
CACCAGACUCCUACGGGAGGCAGCAGUGAGGAAUAUUGGUCAAUGGGCUUACGCCUGAACCAGCCAAGUCGCGUGAGGGAAGACUGCCCUAUGGGUUGUAAACCUCUUUUGUCAGGGAGCAAUUGGCGCUACGUGUAGCGUUAUCGAGAGUACCUGAAGAAAAAGCAUCGGCUAACUCCGUGCCAGCAGCCGCGGUAAUACGGAGGAUGCGAGCGUUAUCCGGAUUUAUUGGGUUUAAAGGGUGCGUAGGCGGAAUGCCAAGUCAGCGUUAAAAUGGAGAGGCUCAACCGCUUCGAGCCGUUGAAACUGGUUUUCUUGAGUGAGUGAGAAGUAUGCGGAAUGCGUGGUGUAGCGGUGAAAUGCAUAGAUAUCACGCAGAACUCCGAUUGCGAAGGCAGCAUACCGGCGCUCAACUGACGCUCAUGCACGAAAGUGUGGGUAUCGAACAGGAUUAGAUACCCCAGUA